AAUUUCAUACUACCAGUGUUCUGAAACUUUCCCAUGUAAAUUCUAACCUUCCUUGCUCGACUGGUUUUUAGAAAAUUGAGUAAGAUAUGCAGUUUUUUUCCCCUAGGUGAGAGCAGUGUCGAAGAGAGAUGAAACAUUUCUCUCCUAGAGGAUUCAAGGCUCUGUUUAGAGGAGGGCUUGCUCUAGUAAUUCUGUGUUGCCGUGGGCUUGCUCUAGUACUUCUCUAUUGCAAUGGGAACCCCUUCAGCCUGCCCAAAAAGUAGAUCAGAAACCAUCGCUUUGUGUGAUGGGUGAUGGCUUUGGGACCAAAUUGCUUGUUGCUGGGUUGCAAUUCCAAGAGCAAACUCUCUUGGUUACAGAUUUGGAGUGAUCUUAUUACCCUGACAUGGCUCAAAAAGCAAGCCCAGAUCUUGGGAGAUGCAGUGGGGCUCAGAAGAGAGAGAGGAGACCCUUGAGCAGUGCCCUGGAGAGCAAGCGCUGCAAAUGAGAUCUUUCCAAACCUCCUGGGAGGUCUUUAAGUUUUUCACUUUUGCUGUUGGCCAGUAUGUGUUUUCAGAUUGUGUUUGCCUCAUCUGGUCAUGGCAUUACGUAUCCAUGUUUGAGCUGGGAGAUAUUUUGAGAGAGAUGUCCUACAGCAUAAACCGAAAAGCAUCUGGAUAGGAGCACUAGCAUUAUUGUAAUGACCUUCAUUUGAUCCUUUGAUUGUAGUCCUGCUGUCCGAAAUGCGAGUCCCUUACCCGGUGUGCAACGAGCCGACCUCUACAUCACUGGGAGACAUUGUUUAUUCUGAGUUUAUGCAGAUUCUGGACACCUGGGUGGGAUGGACCCUCCAAACAUGAGUGUAAAGCCCCGACGGAGACCCCACCAUUUUAUACACUACAGAUGGAUAAAUAUUCCUAGAAUUCCCAGAAAGGUCAUGCAUAUCAGUACAUUUUCUGAGAAUGAAUUCUACUCUCUUGAUGUUUACUGCACGUACACCCCAAAGUCCUAAAGUCCUAAAGACUUUUGCCGAUCUAUAGUGGCUAUUUCACAGUCCUUCACUGAUGAAAUUUUUGUAGCUUUCUCUCUGGGUCUUCCUACUCAGUUAUUAAAAUUCAGUCAUUAGUCCUUGCUUUUCUCAGUUAUCACACCUUCACUUGGCUCAGCCCAUUUACAAGGAUGUUUCUGAUUUUCAGUUCACGUUAUGGUGCCAAUUCAUGGUUGGUUUUGCUAACAAGACAGUAGAAUUUAUCAGGUGUUUCCUUAGCUCACUGAUAACUGACCCAUCUGUGAUCUGACUUUAGCUCCUGGUAAAAGCCUUUUGACUUUAGAACCCUUUUGCACUUCUAACAUUUCAAGAUUUUAUGAUUUCUUUCAACAGUACCUGUUCAGAAACCAAAUCUGUAAAUGAAGAUGGCCGUGAACAACCCUUGGCUGAAGAACAUAGAAACGAGGACAGUGCAGAACGCAACACUGGGCCUCACAGUAGCCAACUGCCAGGUCAUAGCGGGACGAGUACUGGCAAAAGGGAAUUGCAGGGAAGGCAGACAUGUUGCAGUGAAAAUAGCAAAGAAUUUUGAUUGGUCCUCCGAUGCGGCUUGUGAGGAAAUACAGGUGCUGGAAGAUUUAGAAGCAUCAGACCCCAGCAAUGCCUAUCACUGUGUCCAGAUGUUGGGAUGGUUUGAGCACCGUGGACACGUCUGCAUUGUUUUUGAGCUCCUGGGGCUCAGCACCUUUGACUUUAUGAGCGUCAAUGACUUCUUGCCAUUUAACCUGGACGACAUUAGACACAUGGCUUAUCAGAUCUGCACCUCUGUCAACUUUUUGCACAUGAAGAAGUUGACACAUACAGAUCUGAAGCCAGACAAUAUUGUCUUUGUGAAAUCUGACUACGUAGAAGAGUACAACCCCAAACUGGUAAGUUGCCAUCCUCUUCCCCACUCUCCUCCACCUCAGUCAUCCUCUGCGUUCAUCUGGUCACUUGCAUCCCACCACCUUUCAUUUCAGGAAUGCACUGAAUGCAGACUGAGAAAACCAGACAUCAGACUUGUGGACUUUGGGUGCGCCACUUACGAUCAUGAUUACCAUAACCCUGUGGUGACUACUAGACCUUACAGAGCUCCCGAGGUGGUCCUAGGUCAGUGGAAGGCUGUUUGUUUGACUGAUCUUUCAAGUAUGAGUUUUUGUGUGCUAUUGAAUGGAGCUAGAGAAGUUCUUGGUGUCUUGCUUGAGCUGUUGAACUGUUUGCCGUCUGCUCUAAACAUGAACAACCUGAAUCUUUUCACAGAGCUCGGAUGGUCCCAUCCAUGCGAUGUGUGGAGCAUAGGAUGUACUCUCCUGGAAUACUACCUUGGAGACUUAGUAUUUGAGGUAGGCAACUCUAUCCCUCAAAAGCAUGCAGCAUGCCCAGCACUCCCCAACUUGAUGAACAUAAGCUACGGAGAGGUGGGGACUAAAGGCAAUGGUCUGUGCGAGAAAGUAAGCUGCAUUUCUCUGUGGUGCCAAGUUGAAGAGAACAGAAGAUGUAGGCCACAAGGAACGUUCUCAGCGGCAGAUUUUGACAAGUUACUUUCAGUAGACGUUUUGGCAGCGUCUUGAAAUGAAGGGUCGCCCUGUUAACUUUUGGAAUUUACAAGGCACCUUAACACCAGAUGUGGCUUCAUCUAUCACCAUCAGCAAAUACUACUCAAAGGAUUGAAUCCUGUCCUCUUGACAGUAUUGCUGAAACGGAACUUGAAGAAGAGAGGAAGAAAAAACACCAAGGCAAGAUCAAGGGGAAUGAAAUCCAGUAGCUUCUAACUUCUUUCAGGAAACAGAGAACCCGAGCCUCUCAUUUUUUUGUCGAUCAGUUUCAGGUUAUUGUUUGCAGGGUACAGUCAAAAAUGAAGUCAGGCUGGUGUGUGCUUCUUGAUAACUUCCUCUGAACAAGGAACGAAAAACGUCUCUCUUGACUUCCUUGCAGCCCGAUGAUGACAUAGUACACCUGGCAAUGAUGGAGCGAUUACUGGGGCCUUUGCCGGAUCAAAUGAUAAAGAGAGUUGUGUCUUCAAAGAAGAAGUAUUUCUGUAAUGGCCGUCUGGCCUGGGAUGAACGCAGUGCGUCUGGGCAAUAUGUCUCGGGGUGCUGUAAACCCCUGAAGGAAUACAUGACGUGCCACGAUUCUGACCACGAGAAUCUGUUUGAUCUGAUUGGGAAGAUGCUGGAGUAUGACCCAGCCACGCGCAUUACUCUGGAAGAAGCACUGGAACAUCCUUUCUUCCUCCCACUGAAGCAGGAAAAUAGCACAUAGCCUCCUAUAGCUGAUGCAAAUGAACUUCUCUGUCUGCCUGUUAAGAAACGGAAACUAUGUUAAGU
This is an RNA transcript of Cuculus canorus (common cuckoo), 3333 nucleotides long. It is a transcript of the gene named dual specificity protein kinase CLK1-like, with no coding region annotated. The record is from RefSeq and is a predicted model, not a curated record. The transcript has 5 exons. NCBI's taxonomy places the organism in Eukaryota, Metazoa, Chordata, Aves, Cuculiformes, Cuculidae.